Molecule: ribosomal RNA, 180 nt
Filed under: Triticum aestivum (bread wheat)
Lineage: Eukaryota; Viridiplantae; Streptophyta; Magnoliopsida; Poales; Poaceae
Description: partial small subunit ribosomal RNA
Source: RNAcentral
AAAGCCCUAGCCUCAUUGAUGAUGCUCAUCUCUUGGGAGGUUUGGUCUGAGAGGAAUGCUAGAGUCUUUCGCAACGUGGCGGUUCCAUCGAUGGUCAUCAUCAACAAGAUCAAGCACGAGGCGUCGCUUUGGGCUUUGGCGGGUGCCAAGCACUUGAGUAUUGUAAUGCCGCGAAAGUAA